UGGGGAAUAUUGCACAAUGGGGGAAACCCUGAUGCAGCCAUGCCGCGUGUGUGAAGAAGGCCUUCGGGUUGUAAAGCACUUUCAGCGAGGAGGAAAGGUUGAUGCCUAAUACGUAUCAACUGUGACGUUACUCGCAGAAGAAGCACCGGCUAACUCCGUGCCAGCAGCCGCGGUAAUACGGAGGGUGCAAGCGUUAAUCGGAAUUACUGGGCGUAAAGCGCACGCAGGCGGUUUGUUAAGUCAGAUGUGAAAUCCCCGGGCUCAACCUGGGAACUGCAUUUGAAACUGGCAAGCUUGAGUCUUGUAGAGGGGGGUAGAAUUCCAGGUGUAGCGGUGAAAUGCGUAGAGAUCUGGAGGAAUACCGGUGGCGAAGGCGGCCCCCUGGACAAAGACUGACGCUCAGGUGCGAAAGCGUGGGGAGCAAACA
RNAcentral lists this ribosomal RNA (427 nucleotides) under uncultured bacterium. RNAcentral describes it as "bacterial SSU rRNA". It matches the Rfam family "Bacterial small subunit ribosomal RNA", at positions 355 to 774 of the family's 1533-position model. The record is from RNAcentral.